RNAcentral lists this ribosomal RNA (279 nucleotides) under uncultured bacterium. Its description in RNAcentral is "partial 16S ribosomal RNA". It matches the Rfam family "Bacterial small subunit ribosomal RNA", at positions 506 to 784 of the family's 1533-position model. The record is from RNAcentral.
UGCCAGCCGCCGCGGUAAUACAGAGAGUGCAAGCGUUAAUCGGAAUUACUGGGCGUAAAGCGCACGUAGGUGGAUAUUUAAGUCGGGUGUGAAAGCCCCAGGCUCAACCUGGGAACUGCAUCCGAUACUGGGUAUCUAGAGUAUAGUAGAGGGAAGUGGAAUUUCUGGUGUAGCGGUGAAAUGCGUAGAUAUCAGAAGGAACAUCAGUGGCGAAGGCGACUUCCUGGACUAAUACUGACACUGAGGUGCGAAAGCGUGGGGAGCAAACAGGAUUAGAUA